This 477-nucleotide ribosomal RNA is filed under the name uncultured bacterium. RNAcentral's name for it is "bacterial SSU rRNA". It matches the Rfam family "Bacterial small subunit ribosomal RNA", at positions 90 to 580 of the family's 1533-position model. The record is from RNAcentral.
UGAGGAUGGCGGACGGGUGAGUAACGCGUAAGGAACUUGCCUCUUGGACUGGGACAACUGUUGGAAACGACAGCUAAUACCGGAUAUUAUGAGAUUCUCGCAUGGGAAACUUAUGAAAGCUAUAUGCGCCAAGAGAGAGCCUUGCGUUCCAUUAGCUAGUUGGUGGGGUAACGGCCCACCAAGGCGACGAUGGAUAGCCGGCCUGAGAGGGUGAACGGCCACAAGGGGACUGAGACACGGCCCUUACUCCUACGGGAGGCAGCAGUGGGGAAUAUUGGACAAUGGGCCACAAGCCUGAUCCAGCAAUUCUGUGUGCACGAUGAAGGUCUUCGGAUUGUAAAGUGCUUUCAGUUGGGAAGAAGCAAGUGACGGUACCAACAGAAGAAGCGACGGCUAAAUACGUGCCAGCAGCCGCGGUAAUACGUAUGUCGCAAGCGUUAUCCGGAUUUAUUGGGCGUAAAGCGCGUCUAGGCGGAA